UACGGGGGGAGCAAGCGUUGUUCGGAUUUACUGGGCGUAAAGGGCGCGUAGGCGGUAGCACAAGUCAGUUGUGAAAUCUCGGAGCUUAACUUCGAAACUGCAUUCGAUACUGCCGUGCUUGAGGACUGGAGAGGAGACUGGAAUUUACGGUGUAGCGGUGAAAUGCGUAGAUAUCGUAAGGAAGACCAGUGGCGAAGGCGGGUCUCUGGACAGUUCCUGACGCUGAGGCACGAAGGUCAGGGGAGCAAACGGG
Molecule: ribosomal RNA, 253 nt
Filed under: uncultured bacterium
Lineage: Bacteria
Description: partial 16S ribosomal RNA
Rfam family: Bacterial small subunit ribosomal RNA
Source: RNAcentral